Molecule: ribosomal RNA, 253 nt
Filed under: uncultured bacterium
Lineage: Bacteria
Description: partial 16S ribosomal RNA
Rfam family: Bacterial small subunit ribosomal RNA
Source: RNAcentral
UACAGAGGGGGCAAGCGUUAUUCGGAAUUAUUGGGCGUAAAGGGCGCGUAGGCGGUUCUUCAAGUCUCUCGUGAAACCCCUCGGCUUAACUGAGGACGUGCGGGAGAUACUGAAGGGCUUGAGUCCGGAAGAGGGUGGUGGAAUUCCCAGUGUAGCGGUGAAAUGCGCAGAUAUCGGGAGGAACACCGGUGGCGAAGGCGGUUCUCUGGGCCUUACCUGACGCUGAGGAGCGAAAGCAUGGGGAGCGAACAGG